UGGGGAAGGAAAGGGCCUGGGGAAGAAAUUCAGUGGGAAAGAGGAUGUCAGAAGGUUUGUGGCAUCGGGAAAUGACAGGAAAGCCAGAGAGGAGUUGGCGCCAGGGGCUGGAGAAGUGACAGUUCUUGGGUGGAGCCUCUGGGAAGCAGGAGGCUUUGGGUCCAGGACCCCUUUCCUUCAGGGCCUGGCCCGGAAAUUUCGUGAUGGGAUCAUGCCUUAGGGAGCCCAGGAGCCCCGGCCCAGACUGCCCUUCUUGGGGUUUGGAGCCCUUGGAAGGGCUGAGUGGCAGAAAGCAAGGGUGGCCGCAGCCACUGAGCAUCCCUGGGAAGGGACGGGGCUGUGUAGAAGGAUUACCCGGGGACAGGUGGGCAGUCACAGUGUCUCAGCCCGCUGGGAUUGGCAGCAGAACUCAUCUGUUGAAGAGAAGGUAGAGGUCAGGUGUCACAUGGCAGGAAAUUUCCAAUAAAGACAAAAAUGCUUCCCCGGAGAAGAGACCUGGAGACUGGGGCUCUGCUCACACUUGCUUCACUGCACACAGUCACUCUGGUGUCCUUUGGUCUCUCUUCCCCCUCCGUCAGCGCUCGGCCCUUCCCCCUCGGCUGCUGCUUCCUCUGCAGGAACAGCUGCGUGUCUGGGCUUGUCAGGAGUCAGCUGCGUCUCCAGACACAGACAUAGGAGCCCCAGCACCAGCCCUGGCCCGACGCUCGGCACUGAGGUUUGGGAGGUAGUGAUCUCCCUGUUAAACUGAGACCCAGAGACAGGGAGUGUGUUUGAAUCCCGCAGACCCAACAAGUAUCCAUGGAGCACCCACCUGCUGGGGCUUGUUCCAGGUGCUGGGAUGUGCUGGUGGACAGAACAAAAGCCUGGUUCUCAGGGAGCUUCUACUCCAGUGGGGAGGCGUUAACACAUAUAUAAGCCUGGCCAACAUGGUGAAACCCCAUCUCUACUGAAGACACAAAAAUCAGCUGGGCAUGAUCUUGCACACCUGUAAUCCCAGUACUCAGGAAGCUGAGGCACGAGAAUCACUUGAACCUGGGAGGUGGAAGUUGCAGUGAGCUGAGAUACAUAUAUAAAGUGAUGAUAAGUCUUAAGAAAAGACAGAGUCUCACUCUGCGACACAGGCUGGAGCGCAGUGGCGUGAUCUUGGCUCACGGCAGGCAGCCUUGAUCUUCCAGGAUCAAGUGAUUCACCUCAGCCCCCCAAGUAUCUGGGACUACAAGCACGACCCACCACUCCCAGCUAAUUUUUUCUUUUCUUUUUUUUUUUUUUGAGACAGAGUCUUGCUCUGUCGCUAGGUGCCAGGCUGGAGUGCAGUGGCGCAAUCUCGGCUCACUGCAACCUCCACCUCCUGAGUUCAAGCAGUUCUCCUGCUUCAGUCUCCCAAGUAGCUGGGACUACAGACGCACGCCACCACGCCCAGCUAAUUUUUGUAUUUUAGUAGAGAUGGGGUUUCACCAUGUUGACCAGGACGGUCUCAAUCUCUUGACCUCGUGAUCCACCUGCCUUGGCCUCCCAAAGUGCUGGGAUUACAGGCAUGAGCCACUGUGCCCAACCAAUUUACUGUAUAUUGAACUCAUGUAUUUUGUUUAUUGUCUGUAAAUUCUCUAGAAUAUAAGCUGCUUUUUUUUUUUUUUUUUUUUUUUUGAGACAGAGUUUCGCUCUUGUUGCCCAAGCUGGGGUGCAGUGGCACUAUCUUGGCUCACUGCAACCCCCAUGUCCUGGGUUCAAGUGAUUUUCCUGCCUCAGCCUCCCAAGUAGCUGGGAUUACAGACGUCUGCUGCCAUGCCCGGCUAAUUUUGUAUUUUUAGUGGAGACAGGGUUUCUCCAUGUUGGUCAGGCUGGUCUUGAACUCCCGACCUCAGGUGAUCCACCCACCUUUGAUCCACCCCCUUGGCCUUCCAAAGUGCUGGGGUUACAGGCGUGAGCCACCGCACUCAGCUGAAUAUAAGCUUUUUAAAGGGUUUUGUCUCUUCACUGCUAUAUACCCAGCACCUAAACAGUCUGACCAAUAGCAG
Non-coding RNA from Callithrix jacchus (white-tufted-ear marmoset), 2015 nucleotides. Lineage: Eukaryota; Metazoa; Chordata; Mammalia; Primates; Cebidae. The record is from RefSeq and is a predicted model, not a curated record.